RNAcentral lists this unclassified non-coding RNA (324 nucleotides) under soil metagenome. RNAcentral describes it as "partial contains 5.8S ribosomal RNA, internal transcribed spacer 2, and large subunit ribosomal RNA". The stretch from base 1 to 120 matches the Rfam family "5.8S ribosomal RNA", at positions 35 to 154 of the family's 154-position model. The record is from RNAcentral.
GAUGAAGAACGUAGCGAAAUGCGAUAAGUAGUGUGAAUUGCAGAAUUCAGUGAAUCAUCGAAUCUUUGAACGCACAUUGCGCCCCUUGGUAUUCCAUGGGGCAUGCCUGUUCGAGCGUCAUUUGUACCUUCAAGCUUUGCUUGGUGUUGGGUGUUUGUCCUGAGGGACUCGCCUUAAAGUAAUUGGCAGCCAGUGUUUUGGUUUUGAAGCGCAGCACAAGUCGCGAUUCAAGGCUAUACGCCAGCUUCCACAAGCCCUUUUUCACUUUUGACCUCGGAUCAGGUAGGGAUACCCGCUGAACUUAAGCAUAUCAUAAGCGGAGGA